AACGAACGCUGGUGGUGUGCUUAAUACAUGCAAGUCGAACGAGAAAGCUCUUCGGAGUGAUUAAAGUGGCGUACGGGUGAGUAACACGUAGGUGACCUACCCUUUAGAGCGGGACAACAUCGGGAAACCGUUGCUAAUACCGCAUGUGUUGGAGGACCUUGGAAAACUUCAACAAAGACUUCGGUCGCUAGAGGAUGGGCCUGCGGGACAUUAGCUUGAUGGUGGGGUAACGGCUUACCAUGGCUUCGAUGUCUAGCCGGUCUGAGAGGAUGAUCGGCCACACUGGAACUGAGACACGGUCCAGACUCCUACGGGAGGCAGCAGUAGGGAAUAUUGCGCAAUGGGGGAAACCCUGACGCAGCAACACCACGUGAGUGAGGAAGGCCUUCGGGUUGUAAAACUCUGUCCUAGGGGAAAAACGGCUUCGGCUUGAUGGUACCCUAGAAGAAAGCACCGGCUAACUUCG
RNAcentral lists this ribosomal RNA (466 nucleotides) under uncultured Bacteriovoracaceae bacterium. Its description in RNAcentral is "bacterial SSU rRNA". It matches the Rfam family "Bacterial small subunit ribosomal RNA", at positions 29 to 505 of the family's 1533-position model. Lineage: Bacteria; Pseudomonadati; Bdellovibrionota; Bacteriovoracia; Bacteriovoracales; Bacteriovoracaceae. The record is from RNAcentral.